GUAAGUAUAGUUUAAUUAAAAAUUCUAGUCUGUGACUCUAGAGACGAGGGUUAAUCACCCUCUACUCACC
This 70-nucleotide transfer RNA is filed under the name Hyloxalus yasuni. RNAcentral's name for it is "tRNA-His". It matches the Rfam family "tRNA". Rfam says of the family: Transfer RNA (tRNA) molecules are approximately 80 nucleotides in length. The record is from RNAcentral. Lineage: Eukaryota; Metazoa; Chordata; Amphibia; Anura; Dendrobatidae.